This 255-nucleotide ribosomal RNA is filed under the name uncultured bacterium. Its description in RNAcentral is "partial 16S ribosomal RNA". It matches the Rfam family "Bacterial small subunit ribosomal RNA", at positions 524 to 776 of the family's 1533-position model. The record is from RNAcentral.
GACGGAACCGUGCGAACGUUGUUCGGAAUCACUGGGCUUAAAGGGCGCGUAGGCGGACGUCCAAGUCCGGGGUGAAAUCCCCCCGGCUCAACCGGGGGACUGCCUGGGAUACUGGACGUCUCGAGGGAGGUAGGGGCGCGCGGAACUUCCGGUGGAGCGGUGGAAUGCGUAGAUAUCGGAAGGAACGCCGGUGGCGAAAGCGGCGCGCUGGACCUCUGCUGACGCUGAGGCGCGAAAGCCAGGGGAGCGAACGGG